RNAcentral lists this ribosomal RNA (630 nucleotides) under Triticum aestivum (bread wheat). RNAcentral describes it as "partial small subunit ribosomal RNA". The record is from RNAcentral. Lineage: Eukaryota; Viridiplantae; Streptophyta; Magnoliopsida; Poales; Poaceae.
AUGAAGAAGUCAGACAAGUUCGAGUGGACUCCUGAAGCUGAUGCAAUGUUUGCAGAGCUAAAAUCCCUGCUCUCCACCCAGCCGGUGCUUGCUGCCCCAAUCAGCAAAGAGCCUUUGCUACUUUACAUCGCAGCCACGGGACAAGUUGUCAGUACAGUACUUACGGUCGAGCGUGAAGAAGAAGGAAGAGCCUUUAAAGUUCAGUGCCCAGUAUAUUAUGUUUCUGAAGUUUUGACUCCAUCAAAGCAAAGAUACCCUCAUUAUCAGAAGCUUGUGUAUGGGAUUUAUAUGACCACGAAGAAGGUUGCUCAUUACUUCUCUGACCAUUCCAUUACAAUGGUCAGUGACGCUCCAUUGUCAGAGAUUUUGCACAACAGAGAUGCAACUGGUCGAGUGGCAAAAUGGGCGAUUGAACUCCUUCCCCUAGACGUCAAGUUUGAGGCAAAGAAAGCCAUCAAGUCCCAAGCAAUAGCAGAUUUCAUUGCCGAGUGGACUGAACAGCAACUGCCGACUCAAGUUCACUCAGAGCACUGGACCAUGUUCUUUGAUGGUUCUAAGAUGUUGAAUGGUUUCGGUGCUGGGGUAGUGUUGGUGUCCCCCCGAGGAGAUAAUCUCAGAUAUGUGCUCUAG